RNAcentral lists this small nuclear RNA (316 nucleotides) under Oryctolagus cuniculus (rabbit). RNAcentral's name for it is "7SK RNA". It matches the Rfam family "7SK RNA", at positions 1 to 282 of the family's 331-position model. Rfam says of the family: 7SK was discovered as an abundant small nuclear RNA in the mid-70s but a possible function has only recently been suggested. Two independent studies have found that 7SK RNA binds the CDK9/cyclin T complex (known as elongation factor P-TEFb). Lineage: Eukaryota; Metazoa; Chordata; Mammalia; Lagomorpha; Leporidae. The record is from Rfam by way of RNAcentral.
GGAUGUGAGGGCGAUCUGGUUGCGACAUCUUUCACCCCAUUGAUCGCCAGGGUUGAUUCGGCAGAUCUGGCUGGCUAGGUGGUUGUCCCCUUCCUCCCUCACCGCUCCAUGUGCGUCCCACCCGAAGCUGCGCUAUCGGUCAAAGAGGACGACCUUCCCCGCUAGAGGAGGACCGGUCUUCGAUCAAGGGUAUGCGAGUAGCUGCGCUCCCCUGCUAGAACCUCCAAACAAGCGCUCAAAUAAGCAAACUAAAUAAAUACAUGAGUUUUGUUUUACAAGAUUAUAUAGUUAAGUGCAGUGAAGUGUUAUGCUGUAU